RNAcentral lists this ribosomal RNA (481 nucleotides) under uncultured bacterium. RNAcentral describes it as "partial 16S ribosomal RNA". It matches the Rfam family "Bacterial small subunit ribosomal RNA", at positions 28 to 507 of the family's 1533-position model. The record is from RNAcentral.
GAUGAACGCUGGCGGCGUGCUUAACACAUGCAAGUCGAACGAAGCACUUUAUUUGAUUUCCUUCGGGACUGAUUAUUUUGUGACUGAGUGGCGGACGGGUGGGUAACGCGUGGGUAACCUGCCUUGUACAGGGGGAUAACAGUUGGAAACGGCUGCUAAUACCGCAUAAGCGCACAGCAUCGCAUGAUGCAGUGUGAAAAACUCCGGUGGUAUAAGAUGGACCCGCGUUGGAUUAGCUAGUUGGUGAGGUAACGGCCCACCAAGGCGACGAUCCAUAGCCGACCUGAGAGGGUGACCGGCCACAUUGGGACUGAGACACGGCCCAAACUCCUACGGGAGGCAGCAGUGGGGAAUAUUGCACAAUGGGCGAAAGCCUGAUGCAGCGACGCCGCGUGAGCGAAGAAGUAUUUCGGUAUGUAAAGCUCUAUCAGCAGGGAAGAUAAUGACGGUACCUGACUAAGAAGCACCGGCUAAAUACGUG